UAGACCGAUAGCGAACAAGUAGASUGAUCGAAGAUGAAAAGCACUUUGAAAAGAGAGUUAAAAAGCACGUGAAAUUGUUGAAAGGGAAGCGCUUGCGACCAGACUCGCCUACGGGGUUCAGCCGGUAUUCGUACCGGUGUACUUCCCCGUGGGCGGGCCAGCGUCGGUUUGGGCGGCCGGUCAAAGGCCCUCGGAAUGUAACGCCUCUCGGGGCGUCUUAUAGCCGAGGGUGCCAUGCGGCCAGCCCGGACCGAGGAACGCGCUUCGGCACGGACGCUGGCAUAAUGGUCGUAAGCGACCCGUCUUGAAACACGGACCAAGUA
Molecule: ribosomal RNA, 323 nt
Filed under: Penicillium sp.
Lineage: Eukaryota; Fungi; Ascomycota; Eurotiomycetes; Eurotiales; Aspergillaceae
Description: partial large subunit ribosomal RNA
Source: RNAcentral